This 446-nucleotide ribosomal RNA is filed under the name uncultured bacterium. RNAcentral describes it as "partial 16S ribosomal RNA". It matches the Rfam family "Bacterial small subunit ribosomal RNA", at positions 338 to 795 of the family's 1533-position model. The record is from RNAcentral.
CCUACGGGAGGCUGCAGUCGAGAAUCAUUCACAAUGGGGGAAACCCUGAUGGUGCGACGCCGCGUGGGGGAAUGAAGGUCUUCGGAUUGUAAACCCCUGUCAUGUGGGAGCAAAUUAAAAAGAUAGUACCACAAGAGGAAGAGACGGCUAACUCUGUGCCAGCAGCCGCGGUAAUACAGAGGUCUCAAGCGUUGUUCGGAAUCACUGGGCGUAAGGCGUGCGUAGGCUGUUUCGUAAGUCGUGUGUGAAAGGCGCGGGCUCAACCCGCGGACGGCACAUGAUACUGCGAGACUAGAGUAAUGGAGGGGGAACCGGAAUUCUCGGUGUAGCAGUGAAAUGCGUAGAUAUCGAGAGGAACACUCGUGGCGAAGGCGGGUUCCUGGACAUUAACUGACGCUGAGGCAUGAAGGCCAGGGGAGCGAAAGGGAUUAGAUACCCCAGUAGUC